This 270-nucleotide long non-coding RNA is filed under the name Hordeum vulgare. RNAcentral describes it as "long non-coding RNA (HVUL_LNC008991)". Lineage: Eukaryota; Viridiplantae; Streptophyta; Magnoliopsida; Poales; Poaceae. The record is from RNAcentral.
UAAAAUGUAUAUUUCAUUUCAGUAGCAUAUCACAUCAAAUACAAUACAUCAUCCACCGACUCCAUGCAUUAAGGUUCAGCGCCUAACAAGGGCACAUCAAAACAGUUUUACAUGUACACAACAGAAUACUUCUGCAAGUGCAAGCGCACAGAAAAAGGACCCAACAAGUGCACAAUCGCACAUAAAGAGAGUUCCACGAAGAUUGGAUGAGAACCACAAGUUUCUUCUCAUCCUGUUCCUCUGCACAAUAUGCUCUUGCCAUUGCCGCCU